This 1288-nucleotide long non-coding RNA is filed under the name Anas platyrhynchos platyrhynchos (common mallard). RNAcentral's name for it is "lncRNA (ENSAPLG00000026035.1)". The record is from RNAcentral. Lineage: Eukaryota; Metazoa; Chordata; Aves; Anseriformes; Anatidae.
CUGUGCCAGGUUGCAAGCUGGGGCACAUGGGCAGGGACUCUUUCCCCCAGCAACAGUAACAGAGGACUUUGUUGUGCCUGAGAAAUCAGUUUGUUUAUUUAGUGUCUGGUGCAUUCUUUUCUCCUGUGCAGUUUUUUAUUAUGCAUGGGAGCAAUAAUGUUUUUCAUUUCUGCUGCAAGCUACUUUGGAGUUGCGUGCGUCAUUGACUGCAGGGAGCUGGGAUCUGCUUUGAAGCCCUGUAAGGUGAAAGGCGAAAAGCAGCUCAGGGAGCAUGGCCCAUGCAUGGAGGAUAUCUGGCUACUGGUAUCUGCAGGUGCAAUGAGCAGCAGUGAGGAUACAUACAUUACGGACCGUGAGGCACUAUGGUAACCGGGGCCAAUUAGCUCCUACCUAAGGGCAGUUAGCUCCCAGAUGUGGAAUAUCAGACAACUGUGAACCUACAGAAUUGCUAACAGAUCACUCAUUAUUCUCCUCCUGAGACUUUUAAUUGGGGAAUUAACGCAUGGUAUUUUUAGUGAGUGUCCUCAGAACAUUUAUCUUCUUCUACAACAUGUCAGUCCCUCAGGGAGCACUAUUUGGGGACCAACCACUGCUGGAGGUGACAGAGAGGAGUUAUCUCGUCUGAAAUCCCUGCUGACACCAGCGGCUGAUACAGAUGGAAGGCAAAAGAUAUGCAUGUCAUAACCAUACUCCUAAACACAUGAGUAACCUUGAAUGAAUGAAGCGAUCUCACAUACCUCAUGGGCUGCUAACUUCAGCCUUUGACUGCUGGUUUCUGAAGUGAACUCGUCUAUAAACCUCUGCUGUGAAGAAGACCAAGUGAAAUGAGGUGUUGGAGAAUUUAGAACAGUUAUUAACAUGAAAUGUGCUGGAAGAGACAGGCAAGGGAGGAGGCCGACCUAUGGGCCAGCAGACAGCCUCUGGCUGGGGAAGUCCCAGCUAAUAAGGAGACAACAAUUCUGGAAAUAGGGAAGGAGACUUUUCCAUGUUGCAUCUUGCCUUAUCAACACCAUCAAGAAAUAGCUGGGACAAGUUUCUAGAUGCUGCCAGGAGGGAGGAAUUUUACAGAGUUUCUGUUCUUUUCGCCCUUUAAUGCUCUUUUUAGAAAAGUUGGGCCCUUCAGACCUGACUGCGGUUGUGAAAUAUCAUAUGUGCCUACCCAGAAGGAAGGCAAAAAGGAACCACGACAAACACGGCAUGCCUAUAUUUACUUAUAAUCUUUUCUCUGGGUUGUAAGUGCUGAAUUAUUAGUGUUAUGCUAAUAAAGUCCAUUUGAGCUCAUGGAACA